This is a non-coding RNA of Myotis brandtii (Brandt's bat), 75 nucleotides long. NCBI's taxonomy places the organism in Eukaryota, Metazoa, Chordata, Mammalia, Chiroptera, Vespertilionidae. The record is from Rfam.
GGCUGUUCUCGAGUGACAUACCCCGGAAUUGGGCUCCCUCCUCUCUGGUUCCUGGUGCAUCACCCGAGAACCACA